AAAUCCCCCACCAUAUCUUCCAUGCCGGUCUUGCAAUUUCUAGGAUUUGAGUGGAGGUCGCCGCCGAUGAGUUGUCUGCGACCUGGCCGCGCCUCCUGCUCCAUGCUCGAGUUUCCCCUCGAUAUAUAGAGCAACUCAGCCUUCCGACGAACGGCCGCCACCAUGAGAAAGUAGGGGAGAUGUAGGAGCCGGGAGCAUCCCAGCGACAUCAAGAUGUCAGCGGCGGAGCGGCCAAUCGCCACCAGUGGCGGAUAUGCAUCUCCACCAGCCACUCCCGCCCCCACAUGAUCUCCUCCCUACUCGAUCCCCCUGCCCGAGCUCUCAUCGGCCGAGCCCUCCUGGCCGCGAGCUCCUCUCUCCGAGCUGCCCACGGACGCGGCGGCGGCUGUGCUGGAUGCGCGCGAGGGCGGCGGCGAGGAGCGCGCCGGGGAAACUAGCAGGACGUACUGCACGAACUCAGCGUCCAACGACGAAGCAUACCGCGGAGGCAGAAGACCGAGCGCCGGUUGUUGUAGGGCUCCCGUGAGAGAUCCCAGCCGGUGCAGAGCAUCUCCACCCAGGCGUUGGGCAGUGAGGUUGUGCAAUUGGGAGAUCUGCAUAAGGUUGUGGUCUUCAUCCUGAUUGAUGGCAAAUCCGAGACAUUAUUAUAUAGCCAAAGAUCACAGCGGCAUGUACAAUUAUACCAUGUUCAGGUUGUGGUCUUCAUCCUGAUUGAUGGCUCAUACUUGACAUACGCUGAGAUGUAUGAGCUGCAGUUGCUCUUAGUACGAUACUCCACGCUUGCUGGGAUGUGCUUGCAGUCCCUCUUAGCACAACAAUACAACUUGCUCUUUUAGCAUUUUUUUUUUCUCCAGAAGGAUUGGUAUAGUGCAUGUCUGAAAUUAUUAUUUGCAAAUACCAGCGAUUUUUGCAGCGUGAGGAUAGAACUGUUUUUAUAUUUAGUGAUGAUUGGUAUUUGGCAGGGAUUCCCUUGCUCAAUCAAUUAUUAACAUAGGGGAUUCAGAUAUAUAUCAUGUUUUGCUUCCUUUUAAUACCUAUCUGUGGGGAAUCCUGCAGUGUUAGUUGUUUGUCAAGAGAAGUACCUAAUUUCAAGUCCAAUGGUUGGUCAUUUCGAUACAAAAUAUGUGAGCAAUGUGUGUCCGGGUUAAAUUGUGCCAAGUCGUCAUACUGGCACUUAUAGGGUUGGUGUCUGGUAUUUUUUUGGUCAUCACACUGGCUCUUGGGGCCAUUGGGGCAUUACAUAUGGUGGUACUGCAUGCAGAUAAAUUAUGAAAUCCCGUCUUGAUUGUGCCAAACUUAUUUUCUGAACGUAUGAUAAUAUACAUGUCAGAACUGUCAAGACCGACCAUUUUUUUCUCCAGUAAGGUUCAUUUGUGUUUUGAUGACAUGACAAGGCAAGGUAAAAUAUUAUAAAUUUACCCUGGCUUUUAGACAUUCACGGAUUGACUAACAUGACUUUUCACCAGGUUGUUUCCCACUGACGCUUUAUACUUCUCUAUCUCAAAAAUUAAUUACGUCAUGAGGAGAUAAGUUGUUGGUUGAUAGAACCAUAGUGUGAUCAGCCAUUUUCAUGGCAAAUAAGAGCUGAAGUGUUUCUUCUUCUGAAAGUUGGAUAUGUAAUGCUCUUAUAUUCAUGUUAACACACUCAGGUUUCUAUGUACUUUGUUAUUUACUCAAUUUUUUUAAUAUAGCCAAGUUUUCAUGUGUGAUAGCUCCACUUAUAUCCAUUUGUCUGCAAGCGUUGUAUGUAUUUCCAGUGGCUGUGCAUUAGAUUUUCUCUUGGUGUAACAUUUAAUCACUAUAACGAUUUUGAGUUAUUUGAUGUGAACAUACAUAUUGUUUUUAUGUCUAGCUGAACACCGCCUCCUUUAAUUUUGUGUGUGUAGCUUCUGGGAAUUAGUGUCAGAAAAUCGUCAAUAUCUUCAAACUGAGCUCAGCCUCAGUUGGUACAUCUUCAAUAGUUAAUUAUUUACAGUCACAUUGUGAUGGACUGAUACACUAGAAGUGUGACCAACCUUAGCAAUUGUGCGCAAUGGGUGCAAUUUUUUAUGUUUAAAUUGGCUAAUUGAGCAAGAGAAUUUUUUUCUCUUGUGGCAUAUGCUAAUCCAAUGAGUUUGGUAAUUUAAGAGAACCUGAUGUGUACGAUUUUUAAAACUGUUCUUCGCCAUUGUUCUACGUUCAAAAUCUGUUGGUAUAGCCAUGGGGAAUAUCCUGAACAGUCCUAUCAGUUGUUGAAUUUUUCAUGAUGUGUUUGCACUCUUUCCUAGGUGACAACCUAGAUUUAUCUUCUCAAACUUCAAUACCGUUAUGGUUGCUACUGAGGUAGACGCUUUCAUGAUUCCUGUUGUGAUUGACGAUGCUACUGGUGUGUAUACUUAUAUGUGGUUUCGAUAUAAAAUCCUGAGUUAUUGUGGUGAAUCCAGAAAUGAUUCCCACUGAUUACGGUUGCCACUCCGCUCCUUCCUCCGUGCGGCGCAUGGUUUUGAGAGAGCUGACAGGAAUGAACAAGAAAGAAGAAAUGUGGAGAGCACCAGUGCUAGGCCUGCAGCCAUGGUGACCUUCAACGCCUGGGAGUGGCAAGCUGCAUGUCCAAUGCUCUACAGGACAAAACAACACAUCGUUGUGCACACCACAUGCAUAUGUUGGCCUUAGACGUCAGUUGCCCAAAUUCAAGAGAGGAGCCAAGGUAUUUUUGUAUACAUUGUGCUGUUAUUCAGCAAGCAACCUACAUCUUUUAUCGCUUCACUAGAAUGGUGCUAAAUCACUUUUUCUUAAUAUGUAACCCGUGUCUUUCAUCAUUUUUACUCUAUUCUUAAUUGUACUCCACGCAUGUACAUACUACUUUGAUUUGCUUCACGCCCUCAUAAGAACAAUUGUUCCUUUAUACUUUUUAAAUGUUUGUCAUAUGCCUAGAUUAUUAUUUUUACUACUUUGAUGCCCCUGCCCUGAAAUUGUUUGUGCCAAUUUUUUUUCUUUACUGCUUAUUCAAAUCUUCGAAUUCGACUACCUUUUUUCCAUUUCACACACAAUCUAAAUUUUCAUAUGGAGUAUUAUAUUUGUUGUGUUUGUACAGGCCAAGUAUGAGGCUAUGAGUCAGGAACGCUAUGUGGUCGACUCCCCCUCUCAAUUUGUACAUUAUUUCAAAUCUAUUCCAGUGAUAUGACCAUUCAUUUGUCUACGGAUGAAAAGAUCAUAAAGGCACUAGGAGCCGAGAAGGAUUUUUUGUGUGCAUCAACUGGUCUUUUAUCGGUUCUCAAUAUGACACAUACUGGUCUACCUAAGAAGUGCUUAUCACAUUACUAA
Long non-coding RNA from Lolium rigidum, 3303 nucleotides. RefSeq lists it as uncharacterized. The record is from RefSeq and is a predicted model, not a curated record. The transcript has 4 exons. Lineage: Eukaryota; Viridiplantae; Streptophyta; Magnoliopsida; Poales; Poaceae.